GUUAGGAAUAUUGGACAAUGGGCGCAAGCCUGAUCCAGCCAUGCCGCGUGAACGAUGAAGGCCUUCGGGUUGUAAAGUUCUUUAGCCGAUGAUUAUAAUGACUGUAGUCGGAAAAUAAGCCCCGGCUAACUUCGUGCCAGCAGCCGCGGUAAUACGAAGGGGGCGAGCGUUAUUCGGAAUCACUGGGCGUAAAGCGUGCGUAGGCGGUCUCGUAAGUUAGGAGUGAAAGCCCAGGGCUCAACCUUGGAAUUGCUCUUAAUACUGCAAGGCUAGAAUCUCGGAGAGGAUAGCGGAAUUUCCAGUGUAGCAGUGAAAUGCGUAGAUAUUGGAAGGAACACCAGUGGCGUAAGCGGCUAUCUGGACGAGUAUUGACGCUGAGGCACGAAAGCGUGGGGAUCAAACAGGAUUAGAUACCCGAGUAGUCC
Molecule: ribosomal RNA, 425 nt
Filed under: uncultured bacterium
Lineage: Bacteria
Description: partial 16S ribosomal RNA
Rfam family: Bacterial small subunit ribosomal RNA
Source: RNAcentral